AUUUACGUGGCGGAAUCGGUAGACGCGGUAGACUUAAAAUCUACUUCCUUUGGGAGUGUUAGUUCAACUCUAGUCGUAGGUA
RNAcentral lists this transfer RNA (82 nucleotides) under Candidatus Doudnaibacteriota bacterium. RNAcentral's name for it is "Candidatus Doudnabacteria bacterium tRNA-Leu". It matches the Rfam family "tRNA". Rfam says of the family: Transfer RNA (tRNA) molecules are approximately 80 nucleotides in length. Their secondary structure includes four short double-helical elements and three loops (D, anti-codon, and T loops). Lineage: Bacteria; Candidatus Doudnaibacteriota. The record is from RNAcentral.